RNAcentral lists this ribosomal RNA (491 nucleotides) under uncultured bacterium. Its description in RNAcentral is "partial 16S ribosomal RNA". It matches the Rfam family "Bacterial small subunit ribosomal RNA", at positions 29 to 506 of the family's 1533-position model. The record is from RNAcentral.
AGUGAACGCUGGCGGUAGGCCUAACACAUGCAAGUCGAACGGCAGCACAGUAAGAGCUUGCUCUUACGGGUGGCGAGUGGCGGACGAGUGAGGAAUACAUCGGAAUCUACUUUUUCGUGGGGGAUAACGUAGGGAAACUUACGCUAAUACCGCAUACGACCUACGGGUGAAAGCAGGGGAUCUUCGGACCUUGCGCGAUUGAAUGAGCCGAUGUCGGUUUAGCUAGUUGGAGGGGUAAAGGCCCACCAAGGCGACGAGCCGUAGCUGGUCUGAGAGGAUGAUCAGCCACACUGGAACUGAGACACGGUCCAGACUCCUACGGGAGGCAGCAGUGGGGAAUAUUGGACAAUGGGCGCAAGCCUGAUCCAGCCAGACCGCGUGGGUGAAGAAGGCCUUCGGGUUGUAAAGCCCUUUUGUUGGGAAAGAAAAGCAGCAGGUUAAUACCCCGCUGUUCUGACGGUACCCAAAGAAUAAGCACCGGCUAACUUCGU